GGCAUCCAGCAGGAGUCAGAGUGGCCCAAAAUGAGGCAUUCUUGAGUACAGUUGUCAGAGGCUUCUUCCAGAGUUGGCUGCACUGUUAUUUCUGCAGCUUUUUUUAGUACAGGAAUGAAAUUAG
Non-coding RNA from Peromyscus maniculatus bairdii (prairie deer mouse), 124 nucleotides. The record is from RefSeq and is a predicted model, not a curated record. Lineage: Eukaryota; Metazoa; Chordata; Mammalia; Rodentia; Cricetidae.